RNAcentral lists this ribosomal RNA (2930 nucleotides) under Escherichia coli. RNAcentral describes it as "bacterial LSU rRNA". It matches the Rfam family "Bacterial large subunit ribosomal RNA". Lineage: Bacteria; Pseudomonadati; Pseudomonadota; Gammaproteobacteria; Enterobacterales; Enterobacteriaceae. The record is from RNAcentral.
GGGUUGUGAGGUUAAGCGACUAAGCGUACACGGUGGAUGCCCUGGCAGUCAGAGGCGAUGAAGGACGUGCUAAUCUGCGAUAAGCGUCGGUAAGGUGAUAUGAACCGUUAUAACCGGCGAUUUCCGAAUGGGGAAACCCAGUGUGAUUCGUCACACUAUCAUUAACUGAAUCCAUAGGUUAAUGAGGCGAACCGGGGGAACUGAAACAUCUAAGUACCCCGAGGAAAAGAAAUCAACCGAGAUUCCCCCAGUAGCGGCGAGCGAACGGGGAGCAGCCCAGAGCCUGAAUCAGUGUGUGUGUUAGUGGAAGCGUCUGGAAAGGCGCGCGAUACAGGGUGACAGCCCCGUACACAAAAAUGCACAUACUGUGAGCUCGAUGAGUAGGGCGGGACACGUGGUAUCCUGUCUGAAUAUGGGGGGACCAUCCUCCAAGGCUAAAUACUCCUGACUGACCGAUAGUGAACCAGUACCGUGAGGGAAAGGCGAAAAGAACCCCGGCGAGGGGAGUGAAAAAGAACCUGAAACCGUGUACGUACAAGCAGUGGGAGCACGCUUAGGCGUGUGACUGCGUACCUUUUGUAUAAUGGGUCAGCGACUUAUAUUCUGUAGCAAGGUUAACCGAAUAGGGGAGCCGAAGGGAAACCGAGUCUUAACUGGGCGUUAAGUUGCAGGGUAUAGACCCGAAACCCGGUGAUCUAGCCAUGGGCAGGUUGAAGGUUGGGUAACACUAACUGGAGGACCGAACCGACUAAUGUUGAAAAAUUAGCGGAUGACUUGUGGCUGGGGGUGAAAGGCCAAUCAAACCGGGAGAUAGCUGGUUCUCCCCGAAAGCUAUUUAGGUAGCGCCUCGUGAAUUCAUCUCCGGGGGUAGAGCACUGUUUCGGCAAGGGGGUCAUCCCGACUUACCAACCCGAUGCAAACUGCGAAUACCGGAGAAUGUUAUCACGGGAGACACACGGCGGGUGCUAACGUCCGUCGUGAAGAGGGAAACAACCCAGACCGCCAGCUAAGGUCCCAAAGUCAUGGUUAAGUGGGAAACGAUGUGGGAAGGCCCAGACAGCCAGGAUGUUGGCUUAGAAGCAGCCAUCAUUUAAAGAAAGCGUAAUAGCUCACUGGUCGAGUCGGCCUGCGCGGAAGAUGUAACGGGGCUAAACCAUGCACCGAAGCUGCGGCAGCGACACUAUGUGUUGUUGGGUAGGGGAGCGUUCUGUAAGCCUGUGAAGGUGUACUGUGAGGUAUGCUGGAGGUAUCAGAAGUGCGAAUGCUGACAUAAGUAACGAUAAAGCGGGUGAAAAGCCCGCUCGCCGGAAGACCAAGGGUUCCUGUCCAACGUUAAUCGGGGCAGGGUGAGUCGACCCCUAAGGCGAGGCCGAAAGGCGUAGUCGAUGGGAAACAGGUUAAUAUUCCUGUACUUGGUGUUACUGCGAAGGGGGGACGGAGAAGGCUAUGUUGGCCGGGCGACGGUUGUCCCGGUUUAAGCGUGUAGGCUGGUUUUCCAGGCAAAUCCGGAAAAUCAAGGCUGAGGCGUGAUGACGAGGCACUACGGUGCUGAAGCAACAAAUGCCCUGCUUCCAGGAAAAGCCUCUAAGCAUCAGGUAACAUCAAAUCGUACCCCAAACCGACACAGGUGGUCAGGUAGAGAAUACCAAGGCGCUUGAGAGAACUCGGGUGAAGGAACUAGGCAAAAUGGUGCCGUAACUUCGGGAGAAGGCACGCUGAUAUGUAGGUGAAGUCCCUCGCGGAUGGAGCUGAAAUCAGUCGAAGAUACCAGCUGGCUGCAACUGUUUAUUAAAAACACAGCACUGUGCAAACACGAAAGUGGACGUAUACGGUGUGACGCCUGCCCGGUGCCGGAAGGUUAAUUGAUGGGGUUAGCGCAAGCGAAGCUCUUGAUCGAAGCCCCGGUAAACGGCGGCCGUAACUAUAACGGUCCUAAGGUAGCGAAAUUCCUUGUCGGGUAAGUUCCGACCUGCACGAAUGGCGUAAUGAUGGCCAGGCUGUCUCCACCCGAGACUCAGUGAAAUUGAACUCGCUGUGAAGAUGCAGUGUACCCGCGGCAAGACGGAAAGACCCCGUGAACCUUUACUAUAGCUUGACACUGAACAUUGAGCCUUGAUGUGUAGGAUAGGUGGGAGGCUUUGAAGUGUGGACGCCAGUCUGCAUGGAGCCGACCUUGAAAUACCACCCUUUAAUGUUUGAUGUUCUAACGUUGACCCGUAAUCCGGGUUGCGGACAGUGUCUGGUGGGUAGUUUGACUGGGGCGGUCUCCUCCUAAAGAGUAACGGAGGAGCACGAAGGUUGGCUAAUCCUGGUCGGACAUCAGGAGGUUAGUGCAAUGGCAUAAGCCAGCUUGACUGCGAGCGUGACGGCGCGAGCAGGUGCGAAAGCAGGUCAUAGUGAUCCGGUGGUUCUGAAUGGAAGGGCCAUCGCUCAACGGAUAAAAGGUACUCCGGGGAUAACAGGCUGAUACCGCCCAAGAGUUCAUAUCGACGGCGGUGUUUGGCACCUCGAUGUCGGCUCAUCACAUCCUGGGGCUGAAGUAGGUCCCAAGGGUAUGGCUGUUCGCCAUUUAAAGUGGUACGCGAGCUGGGUUUAGAACGUCGUGAGACAGUUCGGUCCCUAUCUGCCGUGGGCGCUGGAGAACUGAGGGGGGCUGCUCCUAGUACGAGAGGACCGGAGUGGACGCAUCACUGGUGUUCGGGUUGUCAUGCCAAUGGCACUGCCCGGUAGCUAAAUGCGGAAGAGAUAAGUGCUGAAAGCAUCUAAGCACGAAACUUGCCCCGAGAUGAGUUCUCCCUGACUCCUUGAGAGUCCUGAAGGAACGUUGAAGACGACGACGUUGAUAGGCCGGGUGUGUAAGCGCAGCGAUGCGUUGAGCUAACCGGUACUAAUGAACCGUGAGGCUUAACCUUACAACGCCGAAGGUGUUU